RNAcentral lists this ribosomal RNA (253 nucleotides) under uncultured bacterium. RNAcentral describes it as "partial 16S ribosomal RNA". It matches the Rfam family "Bacterial small subunit ribosomal RNA", at positions 524 to 776 of the family's 1533-position model. The record is from RNAcentral.
UACAGGGGGUGCAAGCGUUGCUCGGAAUUAUUGGGCGUAAAGCGCGCGUAGGCGGCUACCUAAGUCGGAUGUGAAAGCCCCUGGCUUAACUGGGGAAGUGCACCCGAAACUGAGUAGCUAGAGUGCGAAAGAGGGUCGCGGAAUUCCCGGUGUAGAGGUGAAAUUCGUAGAUAUCGGGAGGAACACCGGUGGCGAAGGCGGCGACCUGGGUCGAGACUGACGCUGAGGCGCGAAAGCGUGGGGAGCAAACAGG